Molecule: small nucleolar RNA, 74 nt
Filed under: Morus notabilis
Lineage: Eukaryota; Viridiplantae; Streptophyta; Magnoliopsida; Rosales; Moraceae
Description: Small nucleolar RNA R66
Rfam family: Small nucleolar RNA R66
About the family: snoR66 is a C/D box small nucleolar RNA, which acts as a methylation guide for 18S ribosomal RNA in plants. snoR66 has been alternatively named snoZ269 in rice.
Source: Rfam by way of RNAcentral
UCCUAUGAUGGCAUGAAAUCUUUGAGACCUGAUUCUCUGAUUUGAUGAAAACUAUAAGCAUUAUCUCUGAGGAU